AUGCACGCUGGCGGCGUGCCUAAUACCUGCCAGUCGAGCGAACAGACGAGGAGCUUGCUCCUCUGACGUUAGCGGCGGACGGGUGAGUAACACGUGGAUAACCUACCUAUAAGACUGGGAUAACUUCGGGAAACCGGAGCUAAUACCGGAUAAUAUAUUGAACCGCAUGGUUCCAUAGUGAAAGACGGUUUUGCUGUCACUUAUAGAUGGAUCCGCGCCGCAUUAGCUAGUUGGUAAGGUAACGGCUUACCAAGGCAACGAUGCGUAGCCGACCUGAGAGGGUGAUCGGCCACACUGGAACUGAGACACGGUCCAGACUCCUACGGGAGGCAGCAGUAGGGAAUCUUCCGCAAUGGGCGAAAGCCUGACGGAGCAACGCCGCGUGAGUGAUGAAGGUCUUCGGAUCGUAAAACUCUGUUAUUAGGGAAGAACAAAUGUGUAAGUAACUAUGCACGUCUUGACGGUACCUAAUCAGAAAGCCACGGCUAACUACGUG
This 496-nucleotide ribosomal RNA is filed under the name uncultured bacterium. RNAcentral describes it as "partial 16S ribosomal RNA". It matches the Rfam family "Bacterial small subunit ribosomal RNA", at positions 29 to 507 of the family's 1533-position model. The record is from RNAcentral.